Molecule: transfer RNA, 61 nt
Filed under: Rodentolepis nana
Lineage: Eukaryota; Metazoa; Platyhelminthes; Cestoda; Cyclophyllidea; Hymenolepididae
Description: tRNA-Met
Source: RNAcentral
UGGUAGGUUAAGAUUAAACUGCGGGGUUCAUGUCCCCAUCAUACACUAUGUGUCCAGUUAA